GAUGAACGCUGGCGGCGUGCCUAAUACAUGCAAGUCGAGCGAACGGACGAGAAGCUUGCUUUUCUGAUGUUAGCGGCGGACGGGUGAGUAACACGUGGAUAACCUACCUAUAAGACUGGGAUAACUUCGGGAAACCGGAGCUAAUACCGGAUAAUAUUUUGAACCGCAUGGUUCAAAAGUGAAAGACGGUCUUGCUGUCACUUAUAGAUGGAUCCGCGCUGCAUUAGCUAGUUGGUAAGGUAACGGCUUACCAAGGCAACGAUGCAUAGCCGACCUGAGAGGGUGAUCGGCCACACUGGAACUGAGACACGGUCCAGACUCCUACGGGAGGCAGCAGUAGGGAAUCUUCCGCAAUGGGCGAAAGCCUGACGGAGCAACGCCGCGUGAGUGAUGAAGGUCUUCGGAUCGUAAAACUCUGUUAUUAGGGAAGAACAUAUGUGUAAGUAACUGUGCACAUCUUGACGGUACCUAAUCAGAAAGCCACGGCUAACUACGUGCCAGCAGCCGCGGUAAUACGUAGGUGGCAAGCGUUAUCCGGAAUUAUUGGGCGUAAAGCGCGCGUAGGCGGUUUUUUAAGUCUGAUGUGAAAGCCCACGGCUCAACCGUGGAGGGUCAUUGGAAACCGGAAAACUUGAGUGCAGAAGAGGAAAGUGGAAUUCCAUGUGUAGCGGUGAAAUGCGCAGAGAUGUGGAGGAACACCAGUGGCGAAGGCGACUUUCUGGUCUGUAACUGACGCUGAUGUGCGAAAGCGUGGGGAUCAAACAGGAUUAGAUACCCUGGUAGUCCACGCCGUAAACGAUGAGUGCUAAGUGUUAGGGGGUUUCCGCCCCUUAGUGCUGCAGCUAACGCAUUAAGCACUCCGCCUGGGGAGUACGACCGCAAGGUUGAAACUCAAAGGAAUUGACGGGGGCCCGCACAAGCGGUGGAGCAUGUGGUUUAAUUCGAAGCAACGCGAAGAACCUUACCAAAUCUUGACAUCCUUUGACAACUCUAGAGAUAGAGCCUUCCCCUUCGGGGGACAAAGUGACAGGUGGUGCAUGGUUGUCGUCAGCUCGUGUCGUGAGAUGUUGGGUUAAGUCCCGCAACGAGCGCAACCCUUAAGCUUAGUUGCCAUCAUUAAGUUGGGCACUCUAAGUUGACUGCCGGUGACAAACCGGAGGAAGGUGGGGAUGACGUCAAAUCAUCAUGCCCCUUAUGAUUUGGGCUACACACGUGCUACAAUGGACAAUACAAAGGGCAGCGAAACCGCGAGGUCAAGCAAAUCCCAUAAAGUUGUUCUCAGUUCGGAUUGUAGUCUGCAACUCGACUACAUGAAGCUGGAAUCGCUAGUAAUCGUAGAUCAGCAUGCUACGGUGAAUACGUUCCCGGGUCU
Molecule: ribosomal RNA, 1372 nt
Filed under: uncultured bacterium
Lineage: Bacteria
Description: bacterial SSU rRNA
Rfam family: Bacterial small subunit ribosomal RNA
Source: RNAcentral